This 322-nucleotide ribosomal RNA is filed under the name uncultured eukaryote. RNAcentral's name for it is "partial 18S ribosomal RNA". It matches the Rfam family "Eukaryotic small subunit ribosomal RNA", at positions 1470 to 1796 of the family's 1831-position model. The record is from RNAcentral.
CCCUUAGAUGUUCUGGGCUGCACGCGCGCUACACUGAUGCGUUCAACGAGUGUAUCACCUUGCCCGAUAGGGUUGGGUAAUCUUUUGAACACGCAUCGUGAUGGGGAUAGAUUAUUGCAAUUAUUAAUCUUCAACGAGGAAUUCCUAGUAAUGAUGGAUCAUCAGUUCAUCGUGAUUACGUCCCUGCCCUUUGUACACACCGCCCGUCGCACCUACCGAUUGAAUGGUCCGGUGAAAUCUCGGGACGGCGGCUUGGUCGCUUGCGUCCGACUGCUGAAACUUGAUUAAACCAUAUCAUUUAGAGGAAGGUGAAGUCGUANCA